RNAcentral lists this long non-coding RNA (2490 nucleotides) under Homo sapiens (human). RNAcentral describes it as "HSALNT0118830". The record is from RNAcentral. Lineage: Eukaryota; Metazoa; Chordata; Mammalia; Primates; Hominidae.
ACAGGGGCUUUGAUAAACUGCCCAGCUAUAGGUGCAGAUUACCAUAGGUGUUGUCUCCUUGGUGAUUACCAUUCUCAGUGCCCUGAAUUCAGCUCAUUAGCUACUUUGCCUACACCUGGUUUCAAACCACAUCGUGUCAGUACUAGGCUGGAUUGUGACACCAGUCCAGGCAGCAGUAGCACCUUGGCUAGACCCAUCUGUAUACCAUGCCCUAUUAGGAAUGGGGGGAUGCACUUCCUAAUGGUGAAAGCUCAGCGUCUAGGGGUGCCUCAGGCCCCAUGGCCUUAUCUUGCAUUAGGAUCCUAAGGCUUCUUGUAACUCUGCUGCUAAGGGAGUUGUACUCAGGGUACUUCAUUCUUCCAGGUAGGCACCCCACUUCACUAAAGUGGAUAUGUGCCAUCCCAGUCCGGGGGGCCAUGAAUGCACCCAUCCUGCUAUUGGGGCUGUAUCAUGAACCAUGGUGAUGAUCUUCAUGAGCAAUCCUUCAAACUGACUGGAGUUGUGUCUCUGCGAGUCUUUGUUAUUGGCGUUUUGCUAUAUUUGUUUGUCUAGACUGCUGUAAUAACAUACCAUAAAUUAGGUAGCUUGUAAAUAACAGAAAUUUAUAUCUCACAGUUCAGAAGACUAGGAAGUCUAAGAUCAGGGCACCAGCAUGGUUGGGUUCUGAUGAGGGCUAUCUUCCAGGUUGCAGACUGCUGACUUCUCGUUGACUUCUCGUGUGGUAGAAAGGAUAAACAAGAUCUCUCAGCCUCUUUUGUAAGGACACUAAUCCCAUUGUAAGGGUUCUGCCCCCAUGAGCUAGUUACCUCUGAAAGGCAGCACGUUUUAAUACCAUCACCUUAGGAGUUAGGUUUCAACCUACGAAUUUUGGGGCAUAUAUUCAGACCAUAGUAUGUCUUAAGUUGGAAGUUGAUCCUAAUUCACAGUGGUUCUGGCUCAGAUACUGUCAGCCAUUCUGGGUUAGAUCCUACUUGGUGCUCUGGAUUACACCUCAGUUAAGCUAUUGCCACAUUAUAGACCUUCCUCUCCCCCAAAUAGUUUUGCUUCUGACUUUUGGAAUAGUGUCUGGAAAAUGACACCCCCCCCAUAUUUUCUAAGUAUGAUCUGUGUGAAAGUCUUAGUUGAAAUGUUGUUAUUUUAGCCAAGUUGAUUAAUACUGAAAGGUGUUACUAAGGCUAUAUAUUAAUGGAACUUCUGACAGUAGCUGCCAUUGGGUGAGCUUAGAUUAAAUAGUAAUUGUGAUUGAAAAGGAAUGUAAUUAAUUAUACCAUUUGAGUGGUUCUGGCUCUCAUUAAAAGGUGUCAUGAUUCAAGGAAUUGUGAUAGACAACCCUCAAAGUUAUACAGUUUUUAUUAAACCACAAGCACAGUGGAUUCAACUUUGGAAUGAUGUUCUUUCUCAGGGACCUUCCUGAAUUAUCAACAUUUUAUAUAUAUGUAAUAUAUAACAACUGUGUGGCUAGUCCACACCUGGAUUUCUAGCCAUUAGACUGGCUAACAAGAACACUUGGAAUUCUAAGGUUUCUUUAUGAGACAUUCAAAGGCCUUUGCCUAAAACCAUUUGUCUGAUAAAUGGAAAUUCAAAUAUAGGAAACCUAAUGGUCAUUUUGACAAUUUAGCUCUAUUUAUUUAUUCAUUACAAAAAUGGCAAAAAUGCGGUUUUAAUGAAGAAACUUACAUACAUUAUUCGUUAUUUUUAUUUUAAAACUGACCUGGGUAUAAAACAGAUUGUUGCAUUUUCUGAUGUGAUUUUUAACAAGAGCAGAGUAGCAGACGAUUUGAGCAUAACUGUAGAACACUGCAUGAUUGAAUGAGUGAAAUGCCAUACAAUUUUCAGUACUAGGUAGAAUUCUCACUACCCAUUAAAUUGAAAAAUGAGAGAAGCAAGACUUCUGCUGCCACCCACUUUGGUAAAGAGUCCAGUUUUCUUGGUACAAAAAUAAAAUGCCUACUCCACUCUCUUGAGCAAUAUCUUUGAAAUAUUACUAACCUCCAUGGCAGAGGUUGCUUAAUCUGCAAAUGUUUUGGCUAGCAAACCAUUAUUAUUGCUAAUAACCCUUACUCACAUUAUCCAGAGAACUGCUUCUUCUACCAUUCUUUAACAAAUGGAAUAUAGCAUAGUAGGCGUACUGAGCCGUAUUAAAUUUUACACAUCAUUAGUCCCUACCUCCCUUAAAGUUUUAGCUUAUAUUUUUUCUUUUCUAUCUUCCCCACAAAGACAUUUUUUUGUCCACUAAGGAAACAUAUUGAGUGAGAUCUCAUGCAGAUUAGUGUAAUUCUCUUGUGUAAUUUUGUUUAAAAAAUAGUUAAAGGGCUAUGGGAAAAUGUGGUGACUUUGAUAAAAAUAUUUUAAAAGUAAAAAUAAUGUGUUUUGACCGUGUGAAUGAUGUCACAUUUACUGUGUAAUAUGUAAUUUAAAACAACUACCACCAAAAUUUUUUUUAGUUUGACUCUCUUGAUUCACCAUAAUUAUAUCACAACAAACUCUUUU